UACGUAGGGGGCAAGCGUUGUCCGGAAUCAUUGGGCGUAAAGCGCGUGUAGGCGGCCAGAAAAGUCCGCUGUGAAAACUCGAGGCUCAACUUCGAGCUGUCGGUGGAAACUUUCUGGCUAGAGUCCGGAAGAGGAGAAUGGAAUUCCUGGUGUAGCGGUGAAAUGCGCAGAUAUCAGGAAGAACACCCGUGGUGAAGGCGGUUCUCUGGGACGGUACUGACGCUGAGACGCGAAAGCGUGGGGAGCGAACAGG
This 253-nucleotide ribosomal RNA is filed under the name uncultured bacterium. RNAcentral describes it as "partial 16S ribosomal RNA". It matches the Rfam family "Bacterial small subunit ribosomal RNA", at positions 524 to 776 of the family's 1533-position model. The record is from RNAcentral.